UACGUAGGGUGCGAGCGUUAAUCGGAAUUACUGGGCGUAAAGCGUGCGCAGGCGGUUAUAUAAGACAGUUGUGAAAUCCCCGGGCUCAACCUGGGAAUUGCAUUUGUGACUGUAUAGCUAGAGUACGGUAGAGGGGGAUGGAAUUCCGCGUGUAGCAGUGAAAUGACGUAGAUAUGCGGAGGAACACCGAUGGCGAAGGCAGCCCCCCUGGGCUAGCACUGACGCUCAGGCACGAAAGCGUGGGGAGCAAACAGG
Molecule: ribosomal RNA, 255 nt
Filed under: uncultured bacterium
Lineage: Bacteria
Description: partial 16S ribosomal RNA
Rfam family: Bacterial small subunit ribosomal RNA
Source: RNAcentral